AGUUUAAGACAUUGCCCUUGACUCCAGUCACAUUUUCUCCCGUGGCGUUCUGGACUGGACAUUCAGACUGUCUGGGAGAAACUGAAUCCGCUGCCUGGACAGCUGCUCUCAUUAAUUUUAAUUCCGAUCCGACCCAGCCUCUCAUCCAAAAUGUGAAGCAUAGUUUUUACUUUGGUCCUCGCAUUCCUGGAGGCCUGAAGGGACACACUGGAAAAUGCAUCAGUCACAGUUACUUCCCAGGCGGAAACACUGAGUCCCCACAAACAGGCCCAAGUACAGGACCCCGGGACCUGAAGAAAUGUAUCAGAAGUCCUCGUCCACGGCAGAUAUUUACUGUUACUUGGUCGCAGCUCUCAAGGCUUGGUGCGAGCCGGCUCCAUCCUUGGGCAGAACCCAUGCCACAGUUCUGCUCGUCUCUCCUGGGGCGUUGCCCGUGGGCACGGAACACAGCCAGCGAACAGUGACGUCUCUCCUGGCAGCGUCUGCCCUCUGACUCUCAGUGGCCUCGGCACACACAGAUGCACCAGGGAGAGCCUUGUUCACUGACACUUCUGAAUGACACAGAAGGGGACUGCGGAGAAGGGACGUAAACAACUGGGAGUCUCCCUCCCUCUCCAUUCCCUUUCCUCUUCCGCCCUGCCUGACUCUUCUUCC
Non-coding RNA from Heterocephalus glaber (naked mole-rat), 654 nucleotides. The record is from RefSeq and is a predicted model, not a curated record. NCBI's taxonomy places the organism in Eukaryota, Metazoa, Chordata, Mammalia, Rodentia, Bathyergidae.